GGAAGGAUCAUUAAAAACUCACGGGCGUGCCCGUGUCCGGGGUGGUCACGAUUGCCCCGCAUGAACCCUUGUUUUUAUCCAGCGCAAACUUUUCGUUUCCUCGGCAGCUCUGCCUGCCAUGGGGGACCUCCUAAAACCUCUUGUAAUCUUCAGUAUAACCUUCUGAAAUAUACCAAUAUCAAAACUUUCAACAAUGGAUCUCUUGGCUCUGGCAUCGAUGAAGAACGCAGCGAAAUGCGAUAAGUAGUGUGAAUUGCAGAAUUCAGUGAAUCAUCGAAUCUUUGAACGCACAUUGCGCCCUUUGGUAUUCCUUAGGGCAUGCCUGUUCGAGCGUCAUCUAAAACUUCAAGCUCAGCUUGGUGAUGGGUGUCUGUCCCGCCUCAGGAUGCGGACUCGCCUCAAAUGCAGUUGGCAGCUUAUUCUUUGGCUCUAAACGCAGCAGAAUUGCGUCGAGCGCCUUGCGAUUAGGCUUCCCAGUAAGCAAAUCUUUCCAGAUUGACCUCGGAUCAGGUAGGAAUACCCGCUGAACUUAAGCAUAUCAAUAAGCGGAGGAAAAGAAACCAACAGGGAUUGCCCUAGUAACGGCGAGUGAAGCGGCAACAGCUCAAAUUUGAAAUCUGGCUCCUUUGGGGUCCGAGUUGUAAUUUGCAGAGGGUGCUUUGGCGUUGGCUGUGGUCUAAGUUCCUUGGAACAGGACGUCGCAGAGGGUGAGAAUCCCGUAUGUGGCCGCCAGCCUUCGCCGUGUAAAGCCCCUUCGACGAGUCGAGUUGUUUGGGAAUGCAGCUCUAAAUGGGAGGUAAAUUUCUUCUAAAGCUAAAUAUCUGCCAGAGACCGAUAGCGCACAAGUAGAGUGAUCGAAAGAUGAAAAGCACUUUGGAAAGAGAGUCAAAAAGCACGUGAAAUUGUUGAAAGGGAAGCGCUUGCAGCUAGACGUGCCGGUAGUUGCUCAGCCGGGCUUUUGCCCGGUGCACUCUUCUAUCGGCAGGCCAGCAUCAGUUUGGGCGGUUGGAUAAAGGCCUAUUAAACGUGACUCCCUUCGGGGAGAGCUUAUAGGGUAGGCGUCAUGCAACCAGCCUGGACUGAGGUCCGCGCAUCUGCUAGGAUGCUGGCGUAAUAGCUGUAAGCGGCCCGUCUUGAAACACGGACCAAGGAGUCUAACAUCUAUGCGAGUGUUUGGGUGUCAAGCCCGGGCGCGUAAUGAAAGUAAACGGAGGUGGGAACCCUCGGGUGCACCAUCGACCGAUCCUGAUGUCUUCGGAUGGAUUUGAGUAAGAGCAUAGCUGUUGGGACCCGAAAGAUGGUGAACUAUGCCUGAAUAGGGUGAAGCCAGAGGAAACUCUGGUGGAGGCUCGCAGCGGUUCUGACGUGCAAAUCGAUCGUCAAAUUUGGGCAUAGGGGCGAAAGACUAAUCGAACUAUCUAGUAGCUGGUUCCUGC
RNAcentral lists this unclassified non-coding RNA (1436 nucleotides) under uncultured Pleosporales. RNAcentral describes it as "sequence contains 18S rRNA gene, ITS1, 5.8S rRNA gene, ITS2, 28S rRNA gene". The stretch from base 497 to 1436 matches the Rfam family "Eukaryotic large subunit ribosomal RNA", at positions 1 to 961 of the family's 3401-position model. The record is from RNAcentral. Lineage: Eukaryota; Fungi; Ascomycota; Dothideomycetes; Pleosporales.